This is a long non-coding RNA of Octopus sinensis (East Asian common octopus), 215 nucleotides long. RefSeq lists it as uncharacterized. The record is from RefSeq and is a predicted model, not a curated record. Lineage: Eukaryota; Metazoa; Mollusca; Cephalopoda; Octopoda; Octopodidae. The transcript has 3 exons.
UUGAAGAAAAGUGGGGGUGAUAAUGGAGUGGCCAAAAGGGGUCAAUGGAUGUAAAAACCCAAAAUAAUGGGUGAAUUAGGUUAAACUUUAAUUGCAAAAUACAGUUGUUUUGAAUUUGCUGCAGAAAGUGAUCUAUGUCUGUGGUGGUGAGUGGAGAGGGGGAAGCAUUAGGAAUGUGGCCUGGGCAUUAAGGGGGCGACAGCUUGGAGUCAGUA